This 900-nucleotide ribosomal RNA is filed under the name uncultured bacterium. Its description in RNAcentral is "bacterial SSU rRNA". It matches the Rfam family "Bacterial small subunit ribosomal RNA", at positions 67 to 975 of the family's 1533-position model. The record is from RNAcentral.
GGGGAAUGGAACCGGCAGUCCAUUGGCUUUAAUACUGGGCGGACGGGUGAGUAAUGCGUGAGCAACCUGCCCAUAUCCGGGUGAUAACAGUUGGAAACGACUGAUAAUACCGCAUAAUACGGUUAGAAGGCAUCUUCUUUCCAUCAAAGAUUUAUCGGAUAUGGAUGGGCUCGCGUCUGAUUAGGCUGUUGGUGAGGUAACGGCUCACCAAACCGACGAUCAGUAGCCGACCUGAGAGGGUGAUCGGCCACAUUGGAACUGAGACACGGUCCAAACUCCUACGGGAAGCAGCAGUGGGGAAUAUUGGGCAAUGGAGGAAACUCUGACCCAGCAACGCCGCGUGAAUGAUGAAGGUCUUCGGAUUGUAAAGUUCUUUUCUAAGGGAAGAAGAAAGUGACGGUACCUUAGGAAUAAGCCUCGGCUAACUACGUGCCAGCAGCCGCGGUAAUACGUAGGAGGCAAGCGUUAUCCGGAAUGACUGGGCGUAAAGGGUGCGUAGGUGGUUCAGCAAGUUAGUAGCGUAACUCCGGAGCUCAACUUCGGCACUACUACUAAAACUGUUGGACUUGAGUGCAGGAGGGGCAACUGGAAUUCCUAGUGUAGCGGUGGAAUGCGUAGAUAUUAGGAAGAACACCGGUGGCGAAGGCGAGUUGCUGGACUGUAACUGACACUGAGGCACGAAAGCGUGGGGAGCAAACAGGAUUAGAUACCCUGGUAGUCCACGCCGUANACGAUGAAUACUAGGUGUAGGGGGUAUCGACUCCCUCUGUGCCGCCGCUAACGCAUUAAGUAUUCCGCCUGGGGACUACGGCCGCAAGGUUGAAACUCAAAGAAAUUGACGGGGACCCGCACAAGCAGCGGAGCAUGUGGUUUAAUUCGACGCAACGCGAAAAACUUACC